GAUGAAGAACGUAGCGAAAUGCGAUAAGUAAUGUGAAUUGCAGAAUUCAGUGAAUCCUCGAAUCUUUGAACGCACAUUGCGCCCGCCAGUAUUCUGGCGGGCAUGCCUGUUCGAGCGUCAUUUCAACCAUCAAGCCCCCGGCUUGUGUUGGGGACCUGCGGCUGCCGCAGGCCCUGAAAAGCAGUGGCGGGCUCGCUGUCACACCGAGCGUAGUAGCAUACAUCUCGCUCUGGGCGUGCUGCGGGUUCCGGCCGUUAAACCACCUUCAUAACCCAAGGUUGACCUCGGAUCAGGUAGGAAGACCCGCUGAACUUAAGCAUAUCAAUAAGCGGAGGA
This 336-nucleotide unclassified non-coding RNA is filed under the name soil metagenome. RNAcentral describes it as "partial contains 5.8S ribosomal RNA, internal transcribed spacer 2, and large subunit ribosomal RNA". The stretch from base 1 to 120 matches the Rfam family "5.8S ribosomal RNA", at positions 35 to 154 of the family's 154-position model. The record is from RNAcentral.